AUUGAACGCUGGCGGCAGGCCUAACACAUGCAAGUCGAGCGGAUGAAGGGAGCUUGCUCCUGGAUUCAGCGGCGGACGGGUGAGUAAUGCCUAGGAAUCUGCCUGGUAGUGGGGGAUAACGUCCGGAAACGGGCGCUAAUACCGCAUACGUCCUGAGGGAGAAAGUGGGGGAUCUUCGGACCUCACGCUAUCAGAUGAUCCUAGGUCGGAUUAGCUAGUUGGUGGGGUAAAGGCCUACCAAGGCGACGAUCCGUAACUGGUCUGAGAGGAUGAUCAGUCACACUGGAACUGAGACACGGUCCAGACUCCUACGGGAGGCAGCAGUGGGGAAUAUUGGACAAUGGGCGAAAGGCUGAUCCAGCCAUGCCGCGUGUGUGAAGAAGGUCUUCGGAUUGUAAAGCACUUUAAGUUGGGAGGAAGGGCAGUAAGUUAAUACCUUGCUGUUUUGACGUUACCAACAGAAUAAGCACCGGCUAACUUCGUG
This 484-nucleotide ribosomal RNA is filed under the name uncultured bacterium. RNAcentral's name for it is "partial 16S ribosomal RNA". It matches the Rfam family "Bacterial small subunit ribosomal RNA", at positions 30 to 507 of the family's 1533-position model. The record is from RNAcentral.